RNAcentral lists this ribosomal RNA (497 nucleotides) under uncultured bacterium. Its description in RNAcentral is "partial 16S ribosomal RNA". It matches the Rfam family "Bacterial small subunit ribosomal RNA", at positions 28 to 507 of the family's 1533-position model. The record is from RNAcentral.
GAUGAACGCUGGCGGCGUGCCUAAUACAUGCAAGUCGAGCGAACGGACGAGAAGCUUGCUUCUCUGAUGUUAGCGGCGGACGGGUGAGUAACACGUGGAUAACCUACCUAUAAGACUGGGAUAACUUCGGGAAACCGGAGCUAAUACCGGAUAAUAUUUUGAACCGCAUGGUUCAAAAGUGAAAGACGGUCUUGCCGUCACUUAUAGAUGGAUCCGCGCUGCAUUAGCUAGUUGGUAAGGUAACGGCUUACCAAGGCAACGAUGCAUAGCCGACCUGAGAGGGUGAUCGGCCACACUGGAACUGAGACACGGUCCAGACUCCUACGGGAGGCAGCAGUAGGGAAUCUUCCGCAAUGGGCGAAAGCCUGACGGAGCAACGCCGCGUGAGUGAUGAAGGUCUUCGGAUCGUAAAACUCUGUUAUUAGGGAAGAACAUAUGUGUAAGUAACUGCGCACAUCUUGACGGUACCUAAUCAGAAAGCCACGGCUAACUACGUG